GAUUUACAGCUACAAAGGAUCUCAGGGAUUGUCCACUCCAGGUGUCUAAUUUUACAGAAGAUGAAAUUCAGUCCCAGGGAGGAAGGGAGUCACAGAAAAUCACAUGAGGCUGAACCUGGAUCCUCCAGCUCAGAACCAGUAUUCGUUCAACUAUGCCAUCCUUCCCUCGAUCAGACUGAGGUCCCAUCCCAACUCUGAGGGGACAGUUACGAGAAAACUUGGCUGCCCUGCCUCAUCUGGAAAUCAUCGUUGGAUAAGCAUCUCUCUGGGGAUAAAACGUCAGUGUGUCCAGAAUCUGUGCCUUCAUUGAUGUGAACAUUCCCCCCAUUUCUACAAAUGGCCUUUGACACCCCUGGAGAAUUGUUGUGGCCAAAAAACUCAUCUUUCUGUGGACAGCUCUGGAGUGGGCUAGACUGAAGAUCAAAUCACAGAAUUCCAUCUCUCCCUGACCUAGAACAUUUCUGUGAGAAGGGACUCACAAAACCUCAGAUUCGAAGUUGGUUUAAGCCUCCUUGGCCUCCACGUCAAGACCAAGCCUGGGGAAAAACUCCAAUAUGAGAACUUUAGCCCCUCCCAAGGCAGCCUGUUCCAUUUUUGCAUAGCUCAACUUGUUGGCAAAGCUUGUAGACAUUGAACCUAAGUUUUCCUCUUGGGAAGUUCUUUCAUUCCUUCCCCACUCUGGGACCAAAGAGAACCAGUUGAAUCCCUCCUCCACAUGGCAGCCUUUCAAUUGCUAUGACAUCUCCCCCACUCACCCCAGGCUUCUCUUCUCUUCUCUAGCCCCCCACACCUCCCAGAGGGCUUCCGAUGCUAUGGUCUUGAGGCCAUUCGUCAUUCUGGUCACCACACUCUUGACAUGCUCUGGUUGUCCACUUCCUUCCUAAAGAGAGACGUUUGUUCAGGAGCGGGUGAAAGAGUCUUCGUGGAAUGGGACAGAGUACCAACUUCUGGGGCGACGUGGAGAGGCCUCAUGGAGGAGGAAGCAGCUGAGCUGAGUCACAAAGGAACGAAGGGAUGCCAAGAGGCAGAGGGGAGGGGAAAAGGCACUCCUGGCAUGGGGAGAGAAACACGGAAAAGGAUGGAGACAGGCGAUGGGACAGAAGGUGUGUUAUACAGCCAAAAGGCCAGUUUGGGGAAAGAUAGCACACGAGAGGGAAUCGGGCUGGAAGGAUGGGUGGAAGCCCAAGCAGAGAUGUUUGUCCCCAGGGCAACGGGAAGUUUCUUUGAGAUGGAGAGUGAUGUGAAGGUCUCUCUUUUCCAUGGGAUCAAACAGACUGGACCCCUUUAACAAAUGGCAGCAGCCAUUGGUACCAACUCAAUGACAAGGGAGUAAGAGGAAGGUGGGCCCACUAGGGCCAAUUUAUGGAAGAGCAUGGGUGAGAGCUCUUUAUUAGCUGUGUGAUCCUGGGGAAGUCACUUAAUCCUGUGGGCCUCCAUUUUCUUAUCUAUAAAAUGAUCUGGAGAAGACAGUGGCAAAGCAGUCCAGUCUCUUUGCCAAGAAAAUACCAAACGAGGAUACCCAGAGUUGAACACAACUGAAAAAUGCCUGCGACCAAAAUGGGCAAGAGUCACGUAGAGUGAGCCUCAAUCUGUACUGCUGAAGGAGACACCCAUAGCAUGAACAAGACUGGUGAGGGUGGGCAAGAAGCCUGGAUGGGCUGUGAUGGGCACCAUUGGAGGGCAUGUCCACAUUGGGAGAUCCCAGGGCCAUCGAUGCACUUCAGUAAAGUCACUGCUGCGAUCAGUGAUCUCCUUCCCCAACUCCCCUCUUUCCCCUAGAUUUGUGACUUCCUUGGCCAGGAGCUCUCCAAGCAGCCCCCAGGAUUUCAGAAAUCCCCCAUAAAGUCCAAGCCACCUCUCCAAAGGUUCCUAUUAGCCCUCUGGGGGUUCAGUCUGUUAUAUCUGAUCCCAAAUCUGCCAACUCUCUUAUUUUCAGUCUGUAACAAGACUGUAUGAGCAACGAGGAUUUUAGAACUAGAAGGGGUGUAGAGGUUACCUAUUCAAACACAUUCAUUUCACAACCAGAGAAACAGAAAUAAGAAGUGACUCAUGCAAGGCCACUCAGCUGGCUGAGCUAGGCUUCUAACUCUGAAGGUAGCCAUGCCCUUUCCCAUCCCCCUUGGGUCUUCCAUCCCCACUCCCCUCUGAUGAAGAAGUGAUGGAGGGAAAAGAGCACUAGCCUUGGAGUCCAAGGAUGACUCUUCAAACCUUGCUUUCCUCAUGAGUAAAAUAGGGAUAAUGAUGCCUUUUUAGUCCCUCCAAAUAGGAACAGAAAAGCAAAUAGUGUAAAUAAGUGACUUUUAUAGUUUGCAAAGGACUUUACUCAUGCUAGAGAGGCAGCAUCAUAAAGUGUUAAGGAUGCUGGAGACAUGGGUUCAAAUCCCAGCUCUGCUACUUACUUACUCUCUGGGACUUUGCUAAUUGGAAAGAACAUGGUGCUCUGGAGUCAAAGGUCCUAGGUUCAAACUUAAAUAUGAUACUUAUUGUGUGACCUUAGACAAGCUGCUUACCCUCAGUUUCACCAUCUGUAAAAUGAGGUGUUGAAUUAGAUAACCUCUAAGGUCUCUUCUAAAUUCUAGGUCUAUAGAACCUUGUCAUCUGUUCUUCACAAAACCCCUAUAAAGUAGGUACUAGAGAUGUUAUUUAAAGAUGGGGAAACGAAGGCUCACAGAAACUGAAUGACUUGGCCAGGGUUACAAAGAGUCCUCUAUCACGAUUGACUCUUUUCUCAUUUCUCUGAGAUAUCUCAUAUAUUCUGUCUUAGCUCUUAGCCUCCAUCCCAACCCUGGAUUACUCUGAGGACAUUUCAUAUUCCAUAGGACCUCCAGUCUCUCGGAGGGAAGCUUCUCCCCGAGGAAUUCAUUUAAAAAGAGAAUUGCCUAAAAGCAUAACUUGUGAUCCACUUGAUGACAAAAACUGACACCAUGGUGUGCCCAGAAUCUCUCAGAUUCAAGUAGCCAUUAUUUUGACAAUGCUUGGAGAUGAAGACUUUUUUUCUGUUUCUUCUAAUAAUGAAAAGACAAAUGUCUUCCCUGUGAACUCAUGAAGGAAAUCGUUUAAUGAGCCAAUUCAAUCUAGAGCCCAAAAUAAUGAUCUUCCCAAACAGGAAGAAUUGUGUUGACUGUUUAUGGACUGUUGGGAACGCCUUUGGGAGUUUUCUGUAUUUGUUAGCAGAUGCCUGUGCUGUCUGCUUUUUCUGUGGGAUAAAAUAAAGGUUGCACUAUUUGCA
Molecule: long non-coding RNA, 3229 nt
Organism: Monodelphis domestica (gray short-tailed opossum)
Lineage: Eukaryota; Metazoa; Chordata; Mammalia; Didelphimorphia; Didelphidae
Source: Ensembl